Molecule: transfer RNA, 72 nt
Filed under: Trichonephila inaurata madagascariensis
Lineage: Eukaryota; Metazoa; Arthropoda; Arachnida; Araneae; Nephilidae
Rfam family: tRNA
About the family: Transfer RNA (tRNA) molecules are approximately 80 nucleotides in length. Their secondary structure includes four short double-helical elements and three loops (D, anti-codon, and T loops).
Source: Rfam by way of RNAcentral
GGGUGUAUAGCUCAGAGGUAGAGCAUUCGACUGCAAAUCGGGAAGUUCCCGGUUCAAACCCGGGUGUCCCCU